Molecule: non-coding RNA, 306 nt
Organism: Pelobates cultripes (western spadefoot toad)
Lineage: Eukaryota; Metazoa; Chordata; Amphibia; Anura; Pelobatidae
Source: the annotation of a GenBank genome assembly
CCACAUGACCAAGAGUCCUGAAUGUUGCACUCAACAAUAAGAUUUUCCAUUUCUCUUCUACGUUGUCUGGAAGGGGUUGAUAGAUGUAAUAAGCCAGCAGCAAUGUCACCAGUCCAAAGCAGAGUAAUUUGGAUGCCAUGUCUAAAUGCUCACUAAACGACUAAAGUGAUUAAGCACCUUCUCAUAAACUGUGACAAGUCAGCAGCAGACACUGAUAGGGGAAAGUUAAUCUGCUGGACCUAAGCUCCUGUGUAUCUGAUCAUCAGAAGCAGUGCACACAGCCUGCUUGCAACAGCCAGUUAGAAG